The sequence is a transfer RNA, 113 nucleotides long. It matches the Rfam family "tRNA". From Rfam's summary of the family: Transfer RNA (tRNA) molecules are approximately 80 nucleotides in length. Their secondary structure includes four short double-helical elements and three loops (D, anti-codon, and T loops). The record is from Rfam.
GGCACUUUGGCCGAGUGGUUAAGGCGAAAGACUUGAAUAGUUUGAUCUUCGGAUCUAUCAUCAAGGCCAUCUUUUGGGAUUUUCCCGCGCAGGUUCGAGUCCUGCAGGUGUCG